UUCGCCCUUAGAGUUUGAUCCUGGCUCAAGACGAACGCUGGCGGCGUGCCUAACACAUGCAAGUCGAACGGAACUUCUUUAAAGGAUUUCUUCGGAAUGAAUUUGAUUAAGUUUAGUGGCGGACGGGUGAGUAACGCGUGAGUAACCUGCCUCUGAGAGGGGAAUAACAUUCUGAAAAGAAUGCUAAUACCGCAUAAUAUAUAUUUAUCGCAUGGUAGAUAUAUCAAAGAUUUAUCGCUUAGAGAUGGACUCGCGUCCGAUUAGUUAGUUGGUGAGGUAACGGCUCACCAAGACCGCGAUCGGUAGCCGGACUGAGAGGUUGAACGGCCACAUUGGGACUGAGACACGGCCCAGACUCCUACGGGAGGCAGCAGUGGGGGAUAUUGCGCAAUGGGGGAAACCCUGACGCAGCAACGCCGCGUGAAGGAUGAAGGUCUUCGGAUUGUAAACUUCUUUUAUUAAGGACGAAGAAAGUGACGGUACUUAAUGAAUAAGCUCCGGCUAACUACGUGCCAGCAGCCGCGGUAAUACGUAGGGAGCAAGCGUUGUCCGGAUUUACUGGGUGUAAAGGGUGCGUAGGCGGCUUUGCAAGUCAGAUGUGAAAUCUAUGGGCUCAACCCAUAGCCUGCAUUUGAAACUGCAGAGCUUGAGUGAAGUAGAGGCAGGCGGAAUUCCCCGUGUAGCGGUGAAAUGCGUAGAGAUGGGGAGGAACACCAGUGGCGAAGGCGGCCUGCUGGGCUUUAACUGACGCUGAGGCACGAAAGCGUGGGUAGCAAACAGGAUUAGAUACCCUGGUAGUCCACGCUGUAAACG
RNAcentral lists this ribosomal RNA (813 nucleotides) under uncultured bacterium. Its description in RNAcentral is "bacterial SSU rRNA". It matches the Rfam family "Bacterial small subunit ribosomal RNA", at positions 1 to 808 of the family's 1533-position model. The record is from RNAcentral.